This 83-nucleotide transfer RNA is filed under the name Granulicella cerasi. RNAcentral describes it as "tRNA-Leu". It matches the Rfam family "tRNA". Rfam says of the family: Transfer RNA (tRNA) molecules are approximately 80 nucleotides in length. Their secondary structure includes four short double-helical elements and three loops (D, anti-codon, and T loops). RNAcentral also lists the same sequence under 1 other name. Lineage: Bacteria; Pseudomonadati; Acidobacteriota; Terriglobia; Terriglobales; Acidobacteriaceae. The record is from RNAcentral.
GCGGGAGUGGUGAAAUGGCAGACACGCAGGUCUUAGAAGCCUGUGCCCUAGGCGUGAGGGUUCGAGUCCCUCCUCCCGCACCA